UACGGAGGGUGCAAACGUUGCUCGGAAUCAUUGGGCGUAAAGCGCACGUAGGCGGCGCGUUAAGUCGGGUGUGAAAGCCCUGGGCUCAACCCAGGAAGUGCAUUCGAAACUGGCGCGCUUGAAUAUGGAAGAGGGUCGCGGAAUUCCCGGUGUAGAGGUGAAAUUCGUAGAUAUCGGGAGGAACACCAGUGGCGAAGGCGGCGACCUGGGCCAAUAUUGACGCUGAGGUGCGAAAGCGUGGGGAGCAAACGGG
This 253-nucleotide ribosomal RNA is filed under the name uncultured bacterium. RNAcentral describes it as "partial 16S ribosomal RNA". It matches the Rfam family "Bacterial small subunit ribosomal RNA", at positions 524 to 776 of the family's 1533-position model. The record is from RNAcentral.